Molecule: ribosomal RNA, 264 nt
Filed under: uncultured bacterium
Lineage: Bacteria
Description: partial 16S ribosomal RNA
Rfam family: Bacterial small subunit ribosomal RNA
Source: RNAcentral
GUCCACGCCCUAAACGAUGUCAACUGGUUGUCGGGGAAGUUUUUCCUUGGUAACGAAGCUAACGCGUGAAGUUGACCGCCUGGGGAGUACGGCCGCAAGGUUAAAACUCAAAGGAAUUGACGGGGACCCGCACAAGCGGUGGAUUAUGUGGAUUAAUUCGAUGCAACGCGAAAAACCUUACCUACCCUUGACAUGUGCGGAAGGGGGUAGAGAUACCUCGGUGCCCGAAAGGGAACCGCAACACAGGUGCUGCAUGGCUGUCGU